Carassius gibelio (silver crucian carp) is the source of this 342-nucleotide long non-coding RNA. RefSeq lists it as uncharacterized. The record is from RefSeq and is a predicted model, not a curated record. The transcript has 3 exons. NCBI's taxonomy places the organism in Eukaryota, Metazoa, Chordata, Actinopteri, Cypriniformes, Cyprinidae.
UUCUUCCUGCUCUCAUUUUAUCAACAUUGAAAGAAACGUCUAGAUGAUGAGACCUCAAAAUACAGACUGUUCUUGUGGAGUUUCCACACACAACUCGAGCGGCCAUCAGGCGCAAGUGCAACAAUGAACUCUCAAGAGGAUUUGAGAAGUGAACGAGGGCGUGCUUCAGUGGGUACAUGAUGUCAGACAGUGGGCUACUGAGGGUACAGUAUUUUACAGACAGUCAUCGAAGUAGUUUAUUAUUGCAGUGUGCUAAUCAUGUGAAGAACUGAGAAUCUGUGCCAUGCAUGAGAAUUAACGAAGGACUUGUCUUCCUGUUUUGCUUGCUAUAAACUUGUGGGC